CUUCCAGACUCCUACGGGAGGCAGCAGUGGGGAAUCUUCCGCAAUGGACGAAAGUCUGACGGAGCAACGCCGCGUGAGUGAUGACGGCCUUCGGGUUGUAAAGCUCUGUUAAUCGGGACGAAAGGCCUUCUUGCGAAUAGUGAGAAGGAUUGACGGUACCGGAAUAGAAAGCCACGGCUAACUACGUGCCAGCAGCCGCGGUAAUACGUAGGUGGCAAGCGUUGUCCGGAAUUAUUGGGCGUAAAGCGCGCGCAGGCGGAUCGGUCAGUCUGUCUUAAAAGUUCGGGGCUUAACCCCGUGAUGGGAUGGAAACUGCCAAUCUAGAGUAUCGGAGAGGAAAGUGGAAUUCCUAGUGUAGCGGUGAAAUGCGUAGAUAUUAGGAAGAACACCAGUGGCGAAGGCGACUUUCUGGACGAAAACUGACGCUGAGGCGCGAAAGCCAGGGGAGCGAACGGGAUUAGAUACCCCGGUAGUCCUGGCCGUAAACGAUGGGUACUAGGUGUAGGAGGUAUCGACCCCUUCUGUGCCGGAGUUAACGCAAUAAGUACCCCGCCUGGGGAGUACGACCGCAAGGUUGAAACUCAAAGGAAUUGACGGGGGCCCGCACAAG
This 610-nucleotide ribosomal RNA is filed under the name uncultured bacterium. Its description in RNAcentral is "bacterial SSU rRNA". It matches the Rfam family "Bacterial small subunit ribosomal RNA", at positions 328 to 929 of the family's 1533-position model. The record is from RNAcentral.